Non-coding RNA from Meleagris gallopavo (turkey), 2037 nucleotides. The record is from RefSeq and is a predicted model, not a curated record. NCBI's taxonomy places the organism in Eukaryota, Metazoa, Chordata, Aves, Galliformes, Phasianidae.
AGGGGUGUGGUUGGCCCUGUGCUCCCCAUCUAACCAAAAGGGGUGUACCCAGGGUGGAUUCAUUCUUGGCUCAUAUAAGGGAGAGCAUUGCUUGGGUGUAGACUGCUUUCUGAGAUGGAGUGCUAUAUAGCCAGAGAUCCUCUUUAGCAGCUGGUUGAAUUUGACUUUUCUUUUUGCAUAAGACUGCUGGCCUACCUGUGAGUACUUUGCUUGGUAUUGCCAAGAAUCUGCCAGAAGAAAUUUUGCUUCUUUGUGGGCAGAACACCUAACCCUGCAGAUUGGGUGGGGCCCUGGGCAACUUUAUCUAACAGUUUGCCACACUGCUUGCAGUAGAGGGCUUGGAGCUUGAUGAUCCUUGAAGUCCCUCCCAACCCAAGCCAUUCUGUGAUUCAGUGCUUAUUGUCUAAGAAAUCCCUAAAGCAGAGGUCAGUUAUAUUCUUAUUUGCAAUUGGAACAGGAUCCACGGAACAGUGAUCCCCACACCAAGCUGGCCAGAGUUCAAGAAGUUUCUGGACAAUGCUCUCGAACGUAUGGUUUGAAUUUUAGGUCAUCUUAUGUGGAACAAGAACUUGGACUUGAAGAUCCUUAUGAGUCCAUUCUAAAUCAGGAUAUUCUGUCAUUCCGUGAUACAUAAAGUGGAUGUGAACUGCAGCUCUGUACUAUUUCUAUGAAGCCAGACCUCACUUCCAGAGCAUACAGUGCAACACUUCAACCUCACUGGUCCUGCCUAAGCCUCCUGGACAGCUGAUAGCCCUCCAUACCAUCACCCCACUUGUAGGACUCAUGCUGCCAAGUCUCACCCCAGUGAUGUCAUAACGUUGGGAAAGGGCCAAAACCUUCCAGGUCAAGCAGCUUGUUCCAUAUACUGCACGAAUCAGUAUAUAAGCAUUUCAGAUGUGCUCAAUUAAAAUGAAGAGUUCUGGGAGGAAUCUGUUUAAAUAAAAUCUGUAUUGAGAUUUUAUCAUUGAGAUUAUGCAGUAAUUAUUGAAUGGUAUGAAAACUCAAAUGUAGAAAUGGUAUAGAAAUGUUAAGAAAAAAAAGAUGAAAAAAAAAGUAUUGGAAUCAACUCACUGAAUUUGUAAUUUGUGCACUUAUUUAAUUCAUUUAGCUAUCACAAGAAAUUAACAGAGGCUGAGCUAGGAAUUUGUUAUAUUGGCUGGCAGAUCUUGUAGCUCAUAAAGUUCAGCUGUAGAGAGGGAAGUAAAUAAGAGGGUCAUAGUUAAAAAUAGAAAGCCUUUGAAAUGAUUGUCUUAUCUCUAUCCUCAGCAGAAAUAGAUGAGAUCUUCUUCCUGAUCAAUAGGUAGAUAAAAGUGCAACGUUUACAAUCCUGGACUGGUAUCAUAACAGAUUAAUUGGCUUUGACAGUAGUGCAUGGAUUAUACUAACUAAGCAUGCAGCCCUCUUGUGGUACUGAAAUUGAAGCCUUGAUACACACACCAAGUUAAACUCACUAUAACAUUUAAACAAGCACAGGAUCAGUGUGCUUCAACAUUUGGCAAAAGUUAGCUUUUCAUAGAAGCAUUAAGAGUUACAGAGUUGUUAAAUAAGCUGUUAAGUGAGUUGAAUGGUAGGUAACCUUAUUCAGCAGUUCAGAACCUGAUUGAUUUGAUUUUUACCAUGUGAUUACUUUUUGUGUGUGGAAAUGUGGAAAAUGGAGAUCAGAACCACACGAUACAAAUUGUGCAGCACAAAUAAGAACACUCAUCCACAAAACAGAGCUGCAACAAGACCUGGGAGUGAUUAGAAUAAUGCAUUAGCCAUCUGCACAAUGUCUGCUAGCAGCGAGAAGGUAAACAAAGUCCUGGCAUGCAUUAUGUCUCUAGAAGUGAGAUGUAUGAAUCAGAACUUAAAUACAUACUGAGCAGCAGGAAAGCUUCUUUUAGAAUGCUCUGAGAUUUUCUAUUUAUGGUAUUUUAUGAGGACUAUAGGAAGCUAGAAAACAUCAAAAAGCUGCAACAGAAGGUACUUUGACUAACACUGGAAGCAAAGGAAAUGUCCCAUAAGGAAUGGGAAACCAGAGUGUUCUGUAUGCACAAA